This 493-nucleotide ribosomal RNA is filed under the name uncultured bacterium. RNAcentral's name for it is "partial 16S ribosomal RNA". It matches the Rfam family "Bacterial small subunit ribosomal RNA", at positions 27 to 507 of the family's 1533-position model. The record is from RNAcentral.
GAGUGAACGCUGGCGGUAGGCCUAACACAUGCAAGUCGAACGGCAGCACAGUAAGAGCUUGCUCUUACGGGUGGCGAGUGGCGGACGGGUGAGGAAUACAUCGGAAUCUACUUUUUCGUGGGGGAUAACGUAGGGAAACUUACGCUAAUACCGCAUACGACCUACGGGUGAAAGCAGGGGAUCUUCGGACCUUGCGCGAUUGAAUGAGCCGAUGUCGGAUUAGCUAGUUGGCGGGGUAAAGGCCCACCAAGGCGACGAUCCGUAGCUGGUCUGAGAGGAUGAUCAGCCACACUGGAACUGAGACACGGUCCAGACUCCUACGGGAGGCAGCAGUGGGGAAUAUUGGACAAAGGGCGCAAGCCUGAUCCAGCUAUACCGCGUGGGUGAAGAAGGCCUUCGGGUUGUAAAGCCCUUUUGUUGGGAAAGAAAAGCAGCAGGUUAAUACCCCGCUGUUCUGACGGUACCCAAAGAAUAAGCACCGGCUAACUUCGUG